Molecule: long non-coding RNA, 1030 nt
Filed under: Oryza sativa tropical japonica subgroup
Lineage: Eukaryota; Viridiplantae; Streptophyta; Magnoliopsida; Poales; Poaceae
Description: lncRNA OsCMeo_12g0003710
Source: RNAcentral
ACGGUGUACGGCCACCUCGCCGUCGCGGCCACGGCCCCUCUCCUCGGCGAGCACGCCGCCGCCCGCGGCGGCGGGAUAUCCCCUGUAGAUGACCACACGGUGAUCGUCUCCGCCGGCCCGGGACGACUUCCACGGCGAGCCAGCGGGGAUAAUGACAGCUGGAAUUUUUUAGCGUCUCCUGGCAGCAGUCUCUCUCUGAGCAUUGAAGUAGACAGCAGCGACAGGAAGGCCAAGUUCGUUCUCCUCAGCAAACUGGCGUGUAUUGAAAUGAUCCCUAGAGGAUGGCACAACUACAGCCUGCCUACGCUUCUGCUUGAAGAGCACAAAAACGAACCUGUGGAUACCAAUGCUGGGCUUUGGGCUCUCAUAGCUUAUGAUUUCCCGUCCUGCAAUUCAAAUGCCAGAAAGAUGCAUAUUAAGAACAAAUACAUGCAAGCAUGGAAUGAUCUAAUGCAGGUUAGGGAGAGGACCUACCAAAAGAGGCAUCCGUUGUUCCAGGUUACUAUCAUCUUCGUACAUGGGUUGAAUGAAUCAAUAACUUCUCCGAUCACCCGCCCAACAACAAGAGGCUCCACAGACCUAGACAUGGUUGGAGCCUUGGAGGGACAGAUGCACUCUACACUGUCUGCGUGGAAGCCUAUCAACCCCCAAAUGUUUGUCGUUAGCAGCCUUGUUUGUCUGGACUAGCAGUGCACCUUUAGCUUGGUGUGCUGACUUGUCACUAGUGGUCAGGACAGGCGUGCAAGGUCAGCUGUGAGUUAUCAUUGUAUUUCUUAGACGAAUAUUUCUUCAGCUGUUUUGUAACAGACAGUGAUGUUUUCUGUUUGCUGUCAAAAUUGUUAUUGGGUAAAAAGGAGACACCCACUGAGCCAGAAGAUGCACAAUGAAGGUGAACAAACAGAUUUGCUGCUCAAAUUCAGAGCACUUGGCAGUUCGCACAAGUGAAAGAGGUUGUUGCUGGUUCAGGUAAUCAGGUCCCAGUUUUGGGCCGUAUAUGAGCCCCUGACAAGUUGUCGACAUCGAUGAGAGA